CAGCCGUAAACAAUGUGCGUUAGGUGUGUCGGUAACCACGCGUUACUGAUGCGCCGAAGAGAAAUCGUGAAACGCACCACCUGGGAAGUACGGUCGCAAGGCUGAAACUUAAAGGAAUUGGCGGGGGAGCACCACAACAGGUGGAGCCUGCGGUUUAAUUGGAUUCAACGCCGGACAUCUCACCGGAUAAGACAGCUGAAUGAUUGUCAAUCUGAAGGUUUUACAUGACUAGCUGAGAGGUGGUGCAUGGCGUCAGUG
Molecule: ribosomal RNA, 258 nt
Filed under: uncultured archaeon
Lineage: Archaea
Description: partial 16S ribosomal RNA
Rfam family: Archaeal small subunit ribosomal RNA
Source: RNAcentral